UGGGAAUGAGGAAUAUCUGGGAACCUUCAGAACAUUUAAAAUUUCAUUAUUUUAGAGAAGGGGGAAAGAACAUGGAGGAAAAAAAGUCUGUUUUAGAAGCGUUCAUUGAACACAGUAGUAACAGUCUGUUCAAAACCUUAAAUAGGCAAAUUGACUUGGAACAAGAAAACAAACCAUCAAACAACUUAAAUUAAGGGCUCUUAUCAGUUAAAAGAUAAGGAGCACCAAAGCCACAAGAGAAGCUGCAGUAAUAAAGGAGACUGUUGAGUGACCGAGGACAGGGGUAGUAGCAAAUGAUUCGCAGAUGGAUGUAAGCUGGAGAAGGCACUAAAGCAAAGCCAGUCAGCAGAAUUGUUACUUCAUAUGGUUAAAACUCGUUAUUGCCAGUGUGCGUGUGUGCGUGUGUGUAUAACUCACAUGGUGUGUGUGUGGAAGUCAAAGGACAACUUGUGGUGGGAGUUGGUUCUCUCCUCAGCACAGGAUCCUGGGGAUCAAACUCAGGUUGUCAGGCUUGAUGGCGGGUGCUUUGUCCUUUACCAACUGAGUGAGACAUCUUGCUGGUUGUAAAUGGAAUUCUUACAUAGGAGGGGCUCAGAAACAUCUAUUUAAUUGGGGACAGGUAUGCAAGGGGUUCUGAUGUUCCCCUUUACCUAAAAAGCACAAUUUAAGAUUUAGUUCAUAUUAUAGAUAAAUUAAAGCAGUUUUCUAAGCUUACUUUUAUUUAUGUGUCCUGUAAAAUGAAGGAAAGGUUAACUGUCCAUAAAAAAGAAGUGGAGAAAGGGAGGUGUGAAGAGAGGUGACAGAUAUCCCCUCCAGGGCUCUGGCCAUGGUAGUUCAGACAGCACCUCUCCAGGAAAUGGACAAGUGUAAGCUCUUAUCCUACACUGGAUUAAAGGCAAGUGUUUGUGCCAGGUGUGAUGCAGCCUGUAAUCCUGAAACUCCAUUGUUAGACACCUACUAUCACACACAGAACAAUCAGAUCAACAUAAUUACAGUUUGGGUUAGCAUAUGAAAAGAGACAUUUAGACAGUUGUGGUUACUUUAAAGCACCACUGGGACCUCAGGAAAACUUUCAUGUCAUGUUUUAGGAACUAAAGUGGGUUUUUAUUAAAAAUUCAGCUUGACAGGACUGACAGAUGGCUUAGAGAGUGAAGGCCUUUGCAAGCCGGGCAACCUGAGUUUGAUCACUGGGAUUCAAGUAAAGGUUAGUGACCUUCAUAGACACACCACACAUACAUACCCACAUUCAUGGUAGCAUGUACACAGAUGCUAAUAAUAAUUUAUUCUUGAGAUAGGGUCUUUCUUGGUAGUUUUUGCUUGCCUUAUCUCCUGAGUGCUGGGAUUAAAAGUGUCUUUAAAAAAAAGUCACAGAUGAACUGAGAAACUCAGGACAGAAAUGUUGACAAGCUGAUAAGAAGAUCACCACACUAACCUCCUUCUGUUUUUACACUUUUGAGACAAUUUAAGUGGAACAGAUCUGCAUAUGGAAACUUCCACCCCAGAAGUUCCCUUUGAAACUGCCAAAGCCCUCAUCUCCACUGGACAUACUACUGGCCUUCAUUGUUCUAACUAAAGGACAAUCUGCUUCUGUUGAGUUCAAUCUUUCUUAGUUUCAGGUCAUCCCAAUCUAACAAUAAUGCCUGAACUCCCAAGUCAGAUGGAUCCCUGUGAGUUACACAGCUUUCUCAUCUUGAAAAAAUAAAAACUAAAAACAAAGACCAAUCAAUCAUCCUGGACUGGCAGGUGCACAGGUCUAUAAUCCCAGCACCUGGAGGUGGUUCAAAUCAUCUGGGCUACAUGGCAAAGGCAGGUCUCAAAAACAAAAAUCAGUUUGACUUUUAAGCUUUUGAAGUGUUAAAAAAAUGUGUGUGUGUGUGUGUGUGUGUUAAUAUAUACACACAUUAAUACUUCUUUUUUUUUUUUUUUUGGUUCUUUUUUUUUUUCCAGCUGGGGACCGAACCCAGGGCCUUGUGCUUCCUAGGUAAGCGCUCUACCACUGAGCUAAAUCCCC
Rattus norvegicus (Norway rat) is the source of this 2011-nucleotide long non-coding RNA. Lineage: Eukaryota; Metazoa; Chordata; Mammalia; Rodentia; Muridae. The record is from Ensembl.